Molecule: ribosomal RNA, 520 nt
Filed under: uncultured Glomus
Lineage: Eukaryota; Fungi; Glomeromycota; Glomeromycetes; Glomerales; Glomeraceae
Description: SSU rRNA
Rfam family: Eukaryotic small subunit ribosomal RNA
Source: RNAcentral
AGCAGCCGCGGUAAUUCCAGCUCCAAUAGCGUAUAUUAAAGUUGUUGCAGUUAAAAAGCUCGUAGUUGAAUUUCGGGAUCAAUUAAUUGGUCGUGCCUCUGGUACGUACUGAUUUUAUUGGUUUCUCCCUUCUGACGAACCAUGAUGUCAUUAAUUUGGUGUCGUGGAGAAUCAGGACUGUUACUUUGAAAAAAUUAGAGUGUUUAAAGCAAGCUAACGCUUGAAUACAUUAGCAUGGAAUAAUGAAAUAGGACGUUUGAUCCUAUUUUGUUGGUUUCUAGGAUCGACGUAAUGAUUAAUAGGGAUAGUUGGGGGCAUUAGUAUUCAAUUGUCAGAGGUGAAAUUCUUGGAUUUAUUGAAGACUAACUACUGCGAAAGCAUUUGCCAAGGAUGUUUUCAUUAAUCAAGAACGAAAGUUAGGGGAUCGAAGACGAUCAGAUACCGUCGUAGUCUUAACCAUAAACUAAUGCCGACUAGGGAUCGGAUGAUGUUAAUUUUUAAUGACUCAUUCGGCGCCUUA